RNAcentral lists this small nuclear RNA (108 nucleotides) under Jaculus jaculus (lesser Egyptian jerboa). Lineage: Eukaryota; Metazoa; Chordata; Mammalia; Rodentia; Dipodidae. The record is from RNAcentral.
GUGCUCACCUCGGCAGCACAUAUACUAAAAUUGGAACGAUACAGAGAUUAGCAUGGUCCCUGCACAAGGAAUUUGCACAUGCAAAUUCAUGAAGCGUUCUAUAUUAAA